GGUAACUGCCCCCCAAAAGCCUGGGCGGCUUGAGAAGGGCCGGCGGCAGCACCCGAGUCACCAGAACAGCGGCUGCGUCCGAACCGGGAAGCGGCGUGGUGGGUUGGCGGAGGCCGGGCCAAGUGAGCUUGCUCUCUAGCCUCCGGACCAGGAACCCGACGCUCUCCGUCCGGGGCCAGACCGGCCCCCCAAGUAAGGGGCGGCUCCCAGGUCCCCGAGGUGAGAAGCCAGAGCGGGAAGCUGGCCGAGAGGCCCCGUCUACGCGCCUUCCGGGUGGAAAAGGCGCUCGCUGGAACCUGCAGCUCCAGUGGCAAAGCCCAGCUCAGGGCCCGCUCGGCCGCGCGGCUUCACUCCUGCCCCGGCCGAGCGGAGGUUGUGCAGGCCCCUCUGGGGGGAGCGGGGAGGUCCUCGGCCCCGGCGGCCAGCCCGCCGC
Molecule: long non-coding RNA, 433 nt
Filed under: Homo sapiens (human)
Lineage: Eukaryota; Metazoa; Chordata; Mammalia; Primates; Hominidae
Description: non-protein coding lnc-GPER1-8:30
Source: RNAcentral